AUGAAACAAACCAAAUUCUGCCUGUCAUUUCCGUCCCCUCUCUCGCUCAUGAAAAAGGGUCGUAAUCUUCGAUCCGAAGCGGCGGAUGCUUGCGACGGUGCCCUCUUCCAUCUGCUAUCCAGCACGCCUCCAUUGUUUGGAGUUGAUCGAGUUUGGACGCACGCCGCCCAAUCCCGCACCGCACCGCAGGCACGCUGGACGUGCCACCGGCUAAACGACUCGCGGCGCGGCUUUAUAUGCUCCGUAUGCGCUCGCCUCACGAUGCCAGCCAGCCAGGACGCGCCAUGCAUGCCAUCGCGGCGCCUGCGGUGCGCUAGAAGUACAGCGCCCCGAGACGGCAGACGGCACCGGGCUGCUCUGGUUCGCAUCACUGGCACUGGCACCGGCAUGGCGCGCUCCCUGCUCGGCGACGCGCUCCUCUUCUCCGCCGGCGCCGCGGUGGGCGCCGUGCUGCUGCUCACGCUGGCAUCGCCGUUCACUCCGCCCGACGUCCUGCUGGCAAGACGGUCCUCGUCCGCUGGUGAUCGUGAUGCCAGUGGGCGCACGUUCUACGACGACCCGGAGGUGACGUACACCGUGGACCGUCCCAUCACGGGGUGGGACGAGAAGCGCGCCCAGUGGCUCCGCGCGCACCCGGAGCUGGCCGGCGGCGGCGGCGAGGGGCGCGUCCUGAUGGUGUCCGGCUCGCAGCCGACGCCGUGCCGCUCCCCCAGGGGCGACCACGUGCUGACGCGGCUCCUCAAGAACAAGGCGGACUACUGCCGCCUCAACGGCGUGCAGCUGCUGUACAACACGGCGCUGCUCCGCCCGUCCAUGGACCGGUACUGGGCCAAGAUCCCGCUGAUCCGGGCCGCCAUGGUGGCGCACCCGGAGGCGGAGUGGGUCUGGUGGGUGGACUCGGACGCCGUGCUCACCGACAUGGACUUCCGCCUCCCGCUGCGCCGGUACCGGGGCCACAACUUCGUCGUCAACGGCUGGCCGAGCCUCGUGUACGACGAGGCGAGCCCGUCGUGGACGGGCCUCAACGCCGGCGUGUUCCUCGUGCGCAACUGCCAGUGGUCGCUCGACUUCAUGGACGCCUGGGCCGCCAUGGGGCCCGACUCGCCGGACUACCGCCGGUGGGGCGCCGUGCUCACGUCCACGUUCAGGGACAAGGUGUUCAACGAGUCGGACGACCAGUCGGCGCUGGUGUACAUGCUGCAGCACAAGGGCAGCCCGUGGCGGGGCAAGGUGUUCCUGGAGAACGACUACUACUUCCAGGGCUACUGGGUGGAGAUCGUGGGGCGGCUCGGCGACAUCGCGGCGCGGUACGAGGCCAUGGAGCGGCGGGCGCCGGCGGCGGCGCUGCUGCGGAGGCGGCACGCGGCGAGCUGGGACCACGCGGCGCACGCGGCGGCGAGGGAGGCGGCGCUGGCGGGCGCGGGGCUCGCGGAGAGCGGCGUGCGCGGGUGGAGGCGGCCGUUCGUGACGCACUUCACGGGGUGCCAGCCCUGCAGCGGCGACCGGAACCGGGACUACUCCGGGGACAGCUGCGGCGACGGAAUGCGGCGCGCGCUCAACUUCGCCGACGACCAGGUGCUGAGGGGCUACGGGUUCCGGCACGCCGGCCCGCUCAGCGACGACGUGCGGCCGCUGCCGUUCGAUUACCCCGCGGCGGCCGGGAGGCGCUGA
RNAcentral lists this ribosomal RNA (1671 nucleotides) under Triticum aestivum (bread wheat). Its description in RNAcentral is "partial small subunit ribosomal RNA". The record is from RNAcentral. Lineage: Eukaryota; Viridiplantae; Streptophyta; Magnoliopsida; Poales; Poaceae.